This 442-nucleotide ribosomal RNA is filed under the name uncultured bacterium. RNAcentral's name for it is "partial 16S ribosomal RNA". It matches the Rfam family "Bacterial small subunit ribosomal RNA", at positions 338 to 795 of the family's 1533-position model. The record is from RNAcentral.
CCUACGGGAGGCUGCAGUGGGGAAUAUUGGGCAAUGGGCGAAAGCCUGACCCAGCCACGCCGCGUGAAGGAAGAAGGCUCUCUGGUUGUAAACUUCCUUUGAUAGGGAAGUGAAGAAGACGGUACCUGUCGAAUAAGCCAUGGCUAACUACGUGCCAGCAGCUGCGGUAAUACGUAGGUGGCAAGCGUUGUCCGGAUUUACUGGGUGUACAGGGUGUGUAGCCGGGCGGACAAGGGAGAUGUGAAUUCUGGGGGCUCAACCCCCGAACUGCAUUUGACACUGUUGGUCUAGAGGAUAGUUGAGGUAGGCGGAAUGCAUGGUGUAGCGGUGAAAUGCGUAGAGAUUAGGAAGAACACCGAUGGCGAAGGCAGCCUACUGAGCGACAACUGACGGUGAGGCGCGAAAGCGUGGGGAGCAAACAGGAUUAGAUACCCCUGUAGUC